This 945-nucleotide ribosomal RNA is filed under the name uncultured archaeon. Its description in RNAcentral is "bacterial SSU rRNA". It matches the Rfam family "Archaeal small subunit ribosomal RNA", at positions 1 to 922 of the family's 1478-position model. The record is from RNAcentral.
UUCCGGUUGAUCCCGCCGGACCCCACUGCUAUCGGGAUAGGACUAAGACAUGCUAGUCAAGCGCUUUCUAGCUAAUGUGAGAGCGCGGCGUACAGCUCAGUAACACGUGGCCAACCUGCCCUUGGGACGGGAACACCCCCGGGAAACUGGGGUUAAUUCCCGAUAGGUGAAGAAGUCUGGAAUGAUUCUUCGCUCAAAAGACGUUUAUGUCAUGCUCAUAUUCGUCGCCCAGGGAUGGGGCCGCGACCGAUCAGGUAGUUGGUGAGGCAAUGGCUCACCAAGCCUUUUACCGGUGCGGGCCGUGAGAGCGGGAGCCCGGAGAUGGGCACUGAGACAAGGGCCCAGGCCCCACGGGGCGCAGCAGUCGCGAAAAUUUUGCAAUACACGAAAGUGUGACAGAGCUAUCCCGAGUGCCAUCCGCUGAGGAAGGCUUUUACCCAGUAUAAAUAGCUGGGAGAAUAAGGAGAGGGCAAGUCUGGUGUCAGCCGCCGCGGUAAUACCAGCUCUCCGAGUAGUGUGGACGUUUAUUGGGCCUAAAGCAUCCGUAGCUUGCUAGAUAAGUCCUCUGUUAAAUCCACCGAUUCAAUCGUUGGAUUGCGGGGGAUACUGUUUGGCUAGGGGACGGGAGAGGUCGACGGUAUUUCCGGGGUAGGGGUGAAAUCCUAUAAUCCUGGGAGGACCACCAGUGGCGAAGGCUGUUGACUAGAACGCGCCCGACGGUGAGGGAUGAAAGCUGGGGGAGCGAACCGGAUUAGAUACCCGGGUAGUCCCAGCUGUAAACGAUGCAGGCUAGGUGUUUGGGCGGCCACGAGCCGCCCUAGUGCCGCAGGGAAGCUGUUAAGCCUGCCGCCUGGGGAGUACGGCCGCAAGGCUGAAACUUAAAGGAAUUGGCGGGGGAGCACCACAAGGGGUGAAGCUUGCGGUUUAAUUGGAUUCAACGCCGGG